GUUCAAUUCAGUACAAUUUGAUUAUAAAUUUGAUUAUUAUUAUUAUUAUAAUUAAAAUAUUAUUUAAUUUAUUAUUAUAAAAGAAAAAUUUUUUUUUAUUAUAGUUUACUAGUAAAGUGAUUGAAUUUUUUUAUAUUUUUAAAAGAAAAAUUUAUUUUUUGUACCUUGUGUAUCAGGGUUUAUUAAUUUUAUUAUUAUUAUAUUAAUUUUUCUUGAAUUAAGAAGAGCUAAUCAUAUAUUUGUUUAAUUUUUUCAUAAAUUUUCAUAAUAUUUGGUUUGAAAUGAAAUGUUAUUCGUUUCUUAAUAUAUCUAGUUUUUUAAGAAAAGAAUUUAAUUCUCUUAUUAUUUGUUAUUAGUUAAUUUUUAGUUAAUAAUUUUUAGUAUGAAAUAAAUAAAGGGAUAAGCUUUUAUUUAUAAAAUUAAAAAUUUUAUUUUAUUAUAUUUUUUGUAUAAUUUAAAUUGUUAGUCAUUUUUAUAAUAUAAUAGUUAAUUUUAUUUAAUUAAUAAUUUAUAUUUAUUUUAAUUUUUAUAUUAAAAAUUUAUGUUUAAUUUUUUAACUUUUUUAUAAUGAUUAAAUUAGUAGAUAAUUUUGUAUUUUAUUAUUUAUUUUUUAGAAAAUAAAAAGGAACUCGGCAAAAAUAUUUUUCGCCUGUUUAUUAAAAACAAGUUUUUUUGAUUAUAAUUUAAGAUUUAAUCUGCUCAAUGAUUUAUUAAAUUGCCGCAGUAUUCUGACAGUGCAAAGGUAGCAUAAUAAUUAGCUUUUUAAUUGGGAGCUUGAAUGAAUGAUUGGACGAGAAAAUUUCUGUCUCUUUAUUAUUUAUUAUUUAAUUUAACUUUUAAGUUAAAAGGCUUAAAUUUUUUUAAAAGACGAGAAGACCCUAUAGAGUUUUAUUUUUAUUUUUUUAAUUUAUUUUUGGAAUUUUAAAUGUUUUAUUAAAUAAAAAAUUUAGUUGGGGUGACUGAAAGAUUAAUUUAACUCUUUUAAUUAUAAUCAUUUGUUUAUGAAUAAUAAAAUUAUUUUUAUAAAUUUAAAAUAAAUUACCUUAGGGAUAACAGCGUUAUUUUUCUUUAUAGUUCUUAUAGAAAGGAAAGAUUGCGACCUCGAUGUUGGCUUAAAAUUUAUUUUAGGUGUAGAAGCUUAAAUAUUAAGUCUGUUCGACUUUUAAAAUUUUACAUGAUCUGAGUUUAAACCGGUGUGAGCCAGGUUGGUUUCUAUCUUUAAAUUUUUAAUAUAUUUUAGUACGAAAGGACCAAAUAUAUAAUAUAUUAUUUUAUUUUGAAUAAUAUU
Molecule: ribosomal RNA, 1288 nt
Filed under: Abscondita chinensis
Lineage: Eukaryota; Metazoa; Arthropoda; Insecta; Coleoptera; Lampyridae
Description: 16S ribosomal RNA
Rfam family: Archaeal large subunit ribosomal RNA (bases 1049-1207)
Source: RNAcentral